CCCUAGUAACGGCGAGUGAAGCGGCAACAGCUCAAAUUUGAAAUCUGGCCCCUCGGGCCCGAGUUGUAAUUUGCAGAGGAUGCUUUUGGUGAGGCGCCGCCUGAGUUCCCUGGAACGGGACGCCAUAGAGGGUGAGAGCCCCGUCUGGCUGGCCGCCGAGCCUCUGUAAAGCUCCUUCGACGAGUCGAGUAGUUUGGGAAUGCUGCUCUAAAUGGGAGGUAUAUGUCUUCUAAAGCUAAAUAUUGGCCAGAGACCGAUAGCGCACAAGUAGAGUGAUCGAAAGAUGAAAAGCACUUUGAAAAGAGGGUUAAAUAGUACGUGAAAUUGUUGAAAGGGAAGCGCUCAUGACCAGACUUGGGCCUGGCGAAUCAUCCGGCGUUCUCGCCGGUGCACUUCGCCAGGCUCAGGCCAGCAUCAGUUCGCCGCGGGGGAUAAAGGUUUCGGGAACGUGGCUCCUCCGGGAGUGUUAUAGCCCGUUGCGUAAUACCUGCGGUGGACUGAGGUCCGCGCAUCUGCAAGGAUGCUGGCGUAAUGGUCAUCAGCGACCUUUCUUGAAACACGGACCAAGGAGUCGUCUUCGUAUGCGAGUGUUCGGGUGUCAAACCCCUACGCGUAAUGAAAGUGAACGCAGGUGAGAGCUUCGGCGCAUCAUCGACCGAUCCUGAUGUUCUCGGAUGGAUUUGAGUAAGAGCAUACGGGGCCGGACCCGAAAGAAGGUGAACUAUGCCUGUAUAGGGUGAAGCCAGAGGAAACUCUGGUGGAGGCUCGCAGCGGUUCUGACGUGCAAAUCGAUCGUCAAAUAUGGGCAUGGGGGCGAAAGACUAAUCGAAC
Molecule: ribosomal RNA, 831 nt
Filed under: Hypomyces boletus
Lineage: Eukaryota; Fungi; Ascomycota; Sordariomycetes; Hypocreales; Hypocreaceae
Description: partial large subunit ribosomal RNA
Rfam family: Eukaryotic large subunit ribosomal RNA
Source: RNAcentral